GACGAACGCUGGCGGCGUGCUUAACACAUGCAAGUCGAACGGAAAGGCCUGCUUUCCCUUGUGGAUUGCGGGUACUCGAGUGGCGAACGGGUGAGUAACACGUGAGUGAUCUGCCCCCAACUUGGGUAUAAGCCUGGGAAACUGGGUCUAAUUCCCGAUAGGACUGCAGGGUGGUGCCUGUGGUGGAAAACGAUUUUCUAGUGGUUGGGGAUGAGCUCGCGGCCUAUCAGCUUGUUGGUGGGGUAAUGGCCUACCAAGGCGGCGACGGGUAGCCGGCCUGAGAGGGUGGACGGCCACAUUGGGACUGAGAUACGGCCCAGACUCCGACGGGAGGCAGCAGUGGGGAAUAUUGGACAAUGGGCGGAAGCCUGAUGCAGCGACGCCGCGUGGGGGAUGACGGCCUUCGGGUGGUAAACUCCUUUCGACCGCGAGGAAGCCACCUGGUUGGAAGGGUGGUGACGGUAGUGGUAGAAGAAGCACCGGCUAACUACGUG
This 494-nucleotide ribosomal RNA is filed under the name uncultured bacterium. RNAcentral's name for it is "partial 16S ribosomal RNA". It matches the Rfam family "Bacterial small subunit ribosomal RNA", at positions 28 to 507 of the family's 1533-position model. The record is from RNAcentral.